UAGUAAAAUCGCCUGCAGGGAGCUCAAGGAGCUGGAGCCUUUGAACCGGGUUUAACAGCAAUGAAGCCAGAUUUUCUUCUGUUCUGCGGCUGUGUUAGCCUCUGUGAUCUCUGAAUAAAUCAAAGAAUUUUUCCUCAAGAAGGAAGCCUUCCACGGCUGGUUUCUUGGGAGCCUUGAAUGCUGUGCUUUGGCAGGGACGAGCAAUGAAGAUGAAGAGGACACAAAUAUGGAAAAUAGAAGGUAAAUUUGACAGAUUGAAGUCUUGGAGGGGAUCAGAGAGGUAGCACUUCAGCUCUCAGAUGAGCCUUGGAUAGGAGCGACUCAUCAACAAAGCAUGAUGACGGGAGAUAAAGACUGCUCCCAUGCAGAAAAUGUGUACAUGGGAGCAAUUAUCAUGUCUUUUUCCUGGAACAUAUUAAAUAAGACUGUCCACAGAAAAUGAGGGAGUUGGAGUAGAGAUGGGUGCCUAGGAAGAGUGGGAGAGGGUUGGAGGAAAUGUUAAAGGAUUGUACACUCCACUGACAUUGGAUGCUAUAAACCUACAUCUACACCAGUACCCAUGUAGUGUGACCGUCUCCAGUAUCUUUCAGAAACCCAAGUUCUGGAGAAGGAGCAUCUCAGAAGUGAAAAAGAUAUGAGCUGGUGGUUUGCAGGCAAGAUGUAGUAGAUGGACAUGGAGACAAAGGAAGCAAGGAUGCCAGCAAGAGAGAGACUGAAGGAUGAGACACACCAUGGAAUUUCAUCAGGAAGGAUAAAGAAAUGAAACCAUGAAGGGGCUAACAGCUUGGGAGAAGAGUUGGGGAGUAAGCGACUGGAGAUUACACAAAGAGAGAAAGCAGUUUUAUUGAUACAACUGACAUACAAAAAGAUAAAAAUUAAACUUAAGAGGACUUCCCUGGUAGUGCAGUGGUUAAAAAUCCACCUGCCAAUGCAGGGGACAUAGAGCCCAUGCUCAGCAACAAGAGAAGCCACCGCAAUGAGCAGCCCGCGCACCACAACGAAGAGUAGCCCCCGCUCGCCGCAACUAGAGAAAGCCCGUGCGCAGAAACGAAGACCCAACGCAGCCAAAAAUAAAUAAAUAAAUUUAAACUUGAGAUAUAACUGACGCAGAGCACUGUGUAAGUUUAAGGUAAACAGGGGUGUUUACUUAUAGUAGAAAAGCACUUUUCUGGAUUUACAGGUAUCCCCUGCUUUUGAAAAGUUCGCUUUUCACCAAUUCACUUUAUGAAAGACCUACGUUAGUACCUGUUUUCGCCAACCGAAAGAAAUCAGAAAAGGAUUUUCGCUUUUACAAAAGACAAAAAGCAAAAAUAGUGUUCAGCGUUUGUUUUGCAGCAAGCUUUUACAGAGUCAGUGCGCAGCCCAAGCAGCAAGAACGGCCCCACCAAACUCCCUCCCCAGGAACUACAUUCAGGAUCUCAGCAUCAGGCCGCCAUAGCUUUGAGCUGUGUCUGUAAGAAUCUGUGUUUUCUCUCCAUUUAUUUUGUGCAUCCGUUAGCAAAAUGUGUCCUAAGGUAAUUGCUUCUUUACGUCUUUCAGCUUACAAAAGGUUUCAUAGGAACUCUCUACUUUUGGAUAGGGGGGAAAACCUGUAAGUCUAUACCAAAGUAGGAAAACAAAAGAUACACCAAGAGGGCAGAAUUUUUCCUGAAAAAUGGGAGAGAACACUUUCCUUAUGGAAGGGAAGAGGGUUCCUACAGUGUCUUAAUAUGCACACAAAGUGUUUCUGCAUCAAAAAAAACAUAAAUCAAGAGACCAUUUUUCUUUCAUCCUGCCCACUUCACUCAAUUGUUACCUGCCUGGAACUCUGUAGGCAAUGCAGCUUGAGAUUCUGGACUAGAGCCAUGCAGGUGGAAAGCAGAAAAAUCAUCUAAAUUUCAUGUCACUAUCCCACAAUAUUCUUUAUACUUAUUGCUAUUCCCUACCACUGAUGUUCAAUCUCCGAAUAUCUCUGAGCCAAUAAGCUUCCCACCAUCACCUCUGUCCGCCAAGUAACUUGGGGCAUCUCGAUCUCAAAGGUUUUGCAGCAUUGCGAGGUGGGGACAUCCUCUAGGCAGGUAGAAAAAUGGUACCGGUGAGGUGAAGAUAAUGGUUGAAGAUAUGAGAGUAGAUGAGUUCACUUAGUUAAAGCAGUGUGGAAAGAAAAGUGCAGAGGUCAAGAUGUAAGAGGCACAAAUAAUUAAAAAGUGAGGAGAGGCAAUUCAAGUAGAGGAAAUUCAGUACAAGUAACUGGUUAACCAAGUGAUGGAAGAGCUGAGAAGCUAAAUGGGCAAUGAGGCAACACAGAGAUUAGCAAUGCCACGAAGUUUUUGCCACCCCUGGGCCUGACGGAACAAAAGAAGGAGAUGGUGAUGCCAGAAACCUGGACUUCUGGUGGGAAGGAGAACAGUGGCGGAGGCUGCCUUCCCGAGCUGGGACUACAGGAAAAGGGCACAGUCCACCGAGCCGGAAAUGACAGAGACUGAACCACUGCCCGAGAAACCACCUUAGCCUCCUGCCAGUUCCUUUCAUGGACCAGAUCUACUCAGAAAGGUAGGUUUGAUACAGACAGAGCAGGGAAAGAGUAGAGAAUGAAUCUGGGAGCAUCCACAAAUAACUAGGUGGAAAUCAGACUAUGGAGGAUUCAAAAGGAAUUGAGGAAUAAGAAACAGAAGCAGCAAAUGUAGACCACACAUUUGUCAUUUGUGCUGUUUCAGUGUUAACUCUGUCCUGUUUGCAUGCUUAUAUUCCUGAGAUUUGGGGGAAACUAAAUAUUCCUAAAAGCUGACUUUAAAAGCUCCAUUUCAAGUUCUUUUUCCCCAGAUGGAAUAGCUUUUCCUCAAGUUUCUCCUUCCUCCUUUUCUGCUGAAACUUAUAACCUCUUUAUUAACUUGUAAUUCCUUUUCUUCAAGAAUAUCAAUGAAGAUAAUAAAUAAUUGUAUGAUUCUCUCCAAUAACAUCCUGAGUUGCCUCCGUGUAUAAGCUCUUUUUACACAAUUUUUAACUCUUCUGCAAUCAAGAAUUCAGCAGCACCGGGACCUCCCUGGUGGUUCAGUGGUUAAGAAUCCACCUUCCGAAGCAGGGAACAUGGGUUCAAUCCCUGAUCGGGGAACUAAGAUGUCACAUGCCGCAGGACAACUAAGCCCAGGUGCUGCUUAGAGAGCCCAUGCACU
Molecule: long non-coding RNA, 3152 nt
Organism: Orcinus orca (killer whale)
Lineage: Eukaryota; Metazoa; Chordata; Mammalia; Artiodactyla; Delphinidae
Exons: 3
Source: RefSeq, a predicted model, not a curated record